Molecule: long non-coding RNA, 1312 nt
Organism: Panthera uncia (snow leopard)
Lineage: Eukaryota; Metazoa; Chordata; Mammalia; Carnivora; Felidae
Exons: 3
Source: RefSeq, a predicted model, not a curated record
CAGAGGGCCAUCGUUGACCCUUGGAAAAACCCUGGGGACCGGGCGCCCUGAGUUGGUAGCAAGAGCAGACCUUUCUGAACACCUUUCUGGGCAAAAUUGUUCUGCCCCACAUUUUGCCUACGUCAUAUUACAUAACAAAGGAUUAGCUACAAGUAUGUCUGUGACACAAACCUUAUUGAUUUCACCCAAGAGGAAAGUACAUUGUCAUUGCUAGGUUUCUCUUUGAUGGUUAAUCAGAGGACCUUGGAGCUGCCUUCCGCAAAGCAUAGAGGGAGACUUCCAUGCCACUGUAGGAUGUUUUUCCUCUUUUGCCAAAAUGGGUCGCUUGUUUCCCGAAAUACUUGAAUGGACUCCAACUCUCCCAAAUGGUUUAAUACCUAUACGAUAACACUGAAGAAUUUGAAUAUCGCUUCACUAAUAAACGCUUCAAAGGAAAUCUUGGAACAUGAAUGUUACAAGAAAAAUAUCCACGGCCCCUUUAUUGAACCUGAUGUGAAAGGAGCACACUGCGAGCUCAGUGGCUCUGAAUCAUGCCUCAAGCCUGUUCUACUCAAGCAAGCUCUCAAGACCCAACAAGUCUUCCGGUGACUCAGAACAGAAAGCAGAAUGAAUGCUCUGUCCAACUUGUGUUUCUGAAGCAUUUAUUGGGUGUCGCCCUCAACCAUCCAGCUGAAUCCUUUUUGCAAGACACACAACAAAGAAUUCAGUGAACAAAGCAAAACAAGUCCGUAGCAUUCCAGAAGGAUUCCCUAAUCUAAAUAUGAAAUGUGCAAGUUACGACUCAUCUGGCAGAUCGCACAGGAACAUGGGGAGGAUUGCGAUAGACCAAGGCAACGGGAAGCCUCACGCUGGCAAAUUGAAUUGGAUUCGUUAUAGUUUCAUCAACUAUUUACACUUGACGACAUCAGGACCUACGAACAUGUUAAAAUUAAGGAGAAAGAAUCCUAGGAUCAUGAGAUUGAGAAGAAAUUUCAAAAGGACAUUGUGUAUAUUUCUUUCCAUCGGGCUUGCGUUUGGCCGUCUUUCCCAUAGUUAACUCUGGCCGUAUGAGGAAGUUCUUUCUGGUGGCCUGGGGGCUGAAGUGAUAUUUGUCCCGCAACUGCCCUCGUGCAGACCUCUGAGCUCUUCUCUUGGCUGACUGGGACCACACACAGAGUGACCUUGGACUUCAAUUGCUGGAACGGCCAUCAGCCUAAGUUUUCAAAUGACUCCAUGAAGACUGAAGCCAUGUCCUGCCUUUCCUUCCCUGAAAACUGGAACUCUUAAGUGAGCAAGAAUAGAAUAAAUUCUUUAAGCCUCCGUAUUUGGGUUC